Molecule: ribosomal RNA, 253 nt
Filed under: uncultured bacterium
Lineage: Bacteria
Description: partial 16S ribosomal RNA
Rfam family: Bacterial small subunit ribosomal RNA
Source: RNAcentral
UACGUAGGGCGCAAGCGUUGUCCGGAAUUAUUGGGCGCAAAGAGCUCGUAGGCGGUCUGUUACGUCCGCUGUGAAAACCCAGGGCUUAACCCUGGGCUUGCAGUGGAUACGGGUAGACUAGAGGCAGGUAGGGGAGAAUGGAAUUCCCGGUGUAGCGGUGAAAUGCGCAGAUAUCGGGAGGAACACCGGUGGCGAAGGCGGUUCUCUGGGCCUGACCUGACGCUGAGGAGCGAAAGCGUGGGGAGCGAACAGG